RNAcentral lists this ribosomal RNA (322 nucleotides) under uncultured Cercozoa. RNAcentral's name for it is "bacterial SSU rRNA". The stretch from base 112 to 322 matches the Rfam family "Eukaryotic small subunit ribosomal RNA", at positions 744 to 955 of the family's 1831-position model. Lineage: Eukaryota; Cercozoa. The record is from RNAcentral.
GAUUUCUGAACAUCAGUUUCUGGUCGGCCACGGUUUCGUGUGUUAGUGCUUGAAACUUUGUUCAUCCUUUCAAUUACUAUUUAUUGAUCUUCAUUGAUUGGUAAGUAGUAUUGAAUCUUUUACUUUGAAAAAAUUAGAGUGUUUCAAGCAGGCUUUAUGCUAUGAAUACAUUAGCAUGGAAUAAUAAUUUAGGACUUCGGUUCUAUUUUGUUGGUUUCUAGGACUGAAGUAAUGAUUGAUAGGGAUAGUUGGGGGUGCUAGUAUUCAGCGGCCAGAGGUGAAAUUCUCGGAUUCGCUGAAGACUAACUUAUGCGAAAGCAUU